This is a non-coding RNA of Stegodyphus mimosarum, 73 nucleotides long. Lineage: Eukaryota; Metazoa; Arthropoda; Arachnida; Araneae; Eresidae. The record is from Rfam.
GCCUUCGUGGUGUAGUGGUCAGCACGCUCGACGCAUAAGUGAGAGGUCCGUGGUUCGAUUCCCGGUGAAAGUU